This 479-nucleotide ribosomal RNA is filed under the name uncultured bacterium. Its description in RNAcentral is "bacterial SSU rRNA". It matches the Rfam family "Bacterial small subunit ribosomal RNA", at positions 501 to 983 of the family's 1533-position model. The record is from RNAcentral.
CUACGUGCCAGCAGCCGCGGUAAUACGGAAGGUCCGGGCGUUAUCCGGAUUUAUUGGGUUUAAAGGGAGCGUAGGCCGCGCCUUAAGCGUGUUGUGAAAUCCGGGUGCUCAACAUCCGGCUUGCAGCGCGAACUGGGGCGCUUGAGUGCGCAGAAAGUAGGCGGAAUUCGUGGUGUAGCGGUGAAAUGCUUAGAUAUCACGAGGAACUCCGAUUGCGAAGGCAGCCUACUGUAGCGCUACUGACGCUGAUGCUCGAAAGCGUGGGUAUCGAACAGGAUUAGAUACCCUGGUAGUCCACGCGGUAAACGAUGGAUGCUCGUUGUCGGCCCUUUGGGCCGGUGACCAAGCGAAAGCGUUAAGCAUCCCACCUGGGGAGUACGCCGGCAACGGUGAAACUCAAAGGAAUUGACGGGGGCCCGCACAAGCGGAGGAACAUGUGGUUUAAUUCGAUGAUACGCGAGGAACCUUACCCGGGCUUG